CCUACGGGAGGCAGCAGUGGGGAAUAUUGGACAAUGGGCGAAAGCCUGAUCCAGCAAUUCCGCGUGUGUGAAGAAGGCCUUCGGGUUGUAAAGCACUUUAGGUUGGGAAGAAAAGCUUCGGUGAAUAUCCGGAAUGUUGACGGUACCAACAGAAUAAGCACCGGCUAACUCUGUGCCAGCAGCCGCGGUAAUACAGAGGGUGCAAGCGUUAAUCGGAUUUACUGGGCGUAAAGCGUGCGCAGGUGGUUUCGUAAGUCGGAUGUGAAAGCCCCGGGCUCAACCUGGGAACUGCGUUCGAUACUGCGAGACUAGAGUUUGGUAGAGGGUGGCGGAAUUCCCGGUGUAGCGGUGAAAUGCGUAGAUAUCGGGAGGAACAUCAAUGGCGAAGGCAGCCACCUGGGCCUGAACUGACACUGAGGCACGAAAGCGUGGGUAGCAAACAGGAUUAGAUACCCUGGUAGUCCACGCCGUAAACGAUGAGAACUUGACGUUGGUUCGUUUUACGAAUCGGUGUCGUAGCUAACGCGAUAAGUUCUCCGCUGGGGNGACGCGCGAGUAGANANAAGAGUAGAGNGNGAGAGNGCGAGACGACGACGAGGAGAGG
Molecule: ribosomal RNA, 604 nt
Filed under: uncultured bacterium
Lineage: Bacteria
Description: bacterial SSU rRNA
Rfam family: Bacterial small subunit ribosomal RNA (bases 1-541)
Source: RNAcentral